This is an RNA transcript of Osmia bicornis bicornis, 6500 nucleotides long. It is a transcript of the gene named homeotic protein Sex combs reduced, with no coding region annotated. The transcript has 4 exons. NCBI's taxonomy places the organism in Eukaryota, Metazoa, Arthropoda, Insecta, Hymenoptera, Megachilidae. The record is from RefSeq and is a predicted model, not a curated record.
UGACCAACUGGCUACUACGUCACACAUGCUUCUGCUUGCUUGGAGCCGCCAACUCGGAAGGCUCUCCUCGCGACCGGCUCAGUCGGUUCAGUGAGUUACGAGUUGCGUCCGGGUUCGCCGUACGUACGAUAACGGGGGCGUCAAUCGGAUUGCGCGAUUGGGAGAGCAUUCCUAACCUCGUGCACGCUUUCCUCUCUCUCUCUCUCUCCCUCUUUCUAUCUCAUUCCCUGAUUCCCGUUCCCUUCUUCAUCUCUGUCGCUCCUUCUUCCGGCCCGUCCCUCUCAUUCGGCUAUGGGCAACAGGUUUGAAUUUAUGGGACAAUAAAGAGUGCGGUGCGUAGUGCGCGCGUGUUACCAUCUCGCUCACUCGAAUCCUCUCCUCUCUUUCCCGUCAACGGCCAACCUUUCGUCUCUCCCACGGACACGUCCCGGAUUCUCUCGCGCCGUCAACGGGAGAACAGCGUGCCGGAGACUAUCAAACUCUCAUAAAACUGUCAACCGCGGCCGGCCGGCUGACUUAUGCGCGCCCCUUCUUCCGACUGCGAUUCCCGACUCGUCCGCUUCUCGCCUCGGAUUCCGUUCGUUUCGCGGGCUCCGAAACACCUAAUGCGCUUGACAGUGGUCCGACAGUAGUGCUCCGUUCCUUCUUCGAAUCAUAAGCCGCAAGUCAAAGGUGUUGCCGAGGAUAAUCACACGGCAGCGUGGUGUCGCGCGACGAAUCGUGCGAGACAGGUUCGAGGAGACGAUCGAACGAUCGGUGAUCGAGAAGAACGCGGUAGCGGUCUCGCGGGGAACCACCUCUUCUUCCUUGUUUCCACGCCACGAGGGUGUACGCGGAAGGGGGCGCGUGCGCGCGUUGCCCCCUCGCAGAGACGGCAAGCGGAAGACUACUUCUUGGUGACGUUGCGGCCAGGAGGUUGCAGAGGAUAGAAGGAGAGAGAAGCAGAGUGAUCCUCGCCCCACCAUCGUUCCUCGGGGCUCCCGAAUAUCUCUCCAUUAGCCCCCCUGACUGUGCUAUCCCCUCUCUGUGACCCCUCGGAUUUCCUGUCUUGCUCGCACACCCCUCUCGUCGGCUCUUGUCACGUCGGGUAGCAGCCAGGCAACACUACCACACGAGCAAGCAGCAGCAGCAGCGCCAACAGCAGCAGCAGCAGCAGCAGCACUAGCACCAGCACCAGCACCAUCACAGAGCCGACGGAGACGCAAGGAACGGGGUUGAAGAAUCCUACGCCGGCGGAGAGACCAAUCAAGGUUUGACGAACGACGGGGAUUGGUCGAGGCGCUCCUCUGACACGCAGAGAGCGCGGGCACGUGACAAGCUACCGCACACACCGGGCCUCCGUUGGAUCGUGGCGAGGCCUUCAGUACGAUACCAACCACCCUCCGCGCACGCAACAGGAACGGUGAACGGCGAGCCGCGGCAAUACGCUUCACCCCCUAAUGCGGUGAUAUCGGUACACCGGGAUACCGGCUACGAACGACGAUUACUUCGUUCUUUCAAACAUUACAUCGGCUCGUGUUACGUUACCGUGCUCGAACUUUACCCGUGGUCCAUUCUUCUCGCGAAAUCAACGUCAAGGAUCUCACGGUAUAUAAAUAUCGUUUGAACGCGCGGUGAUUCGUGCGAAUAAAUCAUCGAGAGAAAAAAGAGAGAGAGAGAGAGAAAAGUAAAAAGAAAAAAGUGUGUACAGAGACUCGUCUUCAAUGGGGCGACCCGAUAAGCCCGCUGUUACGCGCUACUGCACGCUGCCUCCACGAGUCCUCUGUAGGUAAUUGCGACUCGUGAGAUCGUAAAGAAGCAGAAGACAGUUUUAUAGCCCAGGCCCACGUGGCCCUCGUAAGCUCGACUCGGCUCAGGUCGGUUCAGACUCUGCCCGCCUGCCGGCACACGGCUUGCUGCCUCUCCGUCUAUUCGCCGCGAUCCCCCUCGUUCAUUAUCGAGUCGUUUAGGGACGUGUUUAUCCGCGUGUAACAACGCGCGAUAGGUGUGAACUGGCUCCUGGGCCAACGGGACAGCAAAACGGUGAGCUGGUUUUUUCCACCCGGUCAGUGAUAAUAAAACCAUUGGGUCGGCUCGUUGUUGCUACCAGUGUGACAGAUACCACCGGGGUGCCGUCGUCGUCGUGAGACCAACGACGCGAUGACACGAUCCUGUAUUUAACGACAGUGCGCGAACAAGUUCCCGCCUGCCGUCUUUUGGGGGACCGAAGCGCGUUCGGUGCUGUGUUAUUGUUUUCGUGAAUGUCGAGCAGUACACGUGUGGAACGAUUGGCAGAGUGACGACGAGGACGACGGGUGAAGUCGCGUGAACGAUGAGUUCCUAUCAGUUCGUCAAUUCGCUCGCGUCAUGCUACGCGGGCCAACAGGCGCAACAGCAACCCCGAGCCACGGCAAAUUCACCCGGAGAACCAAUGCAAGCGGCGUCACCAGCAGGUGGAGACUAUUACAAUCCAAACGCCGCGGCGACCAGUUACCCGGCACCUUGUUAUUCGCCUCAGCAACACUAUCCUCAGCACCCGUACGCUACACCGGCCUCCGGAAUGCAGCACACAGCGCCCACAGGGAUGAUAGACUACACGCAAUUGCAACCUCAACCAAGACUCAGCGCGACCGCUACCUCGCAGCAGCACAGCCUGCACGCGCAACAAUCCCAACAUCAUCCGCAACAACAUCAUCCUCAGCAGCAGCUGCAUCAGGACCCGACGACGCCGCUGCUUCAGGCAGCAUCCGCGCCAUCGGCAGCCUCCACGUCGAGCUGCAAGUACGCCGACUCAACGUCCUCCACCAGCGUCGCGUCUCCUCAAGAUCUGUCCACGUCCACCUCCAGGAACAGUCCCACACCUCUGGUGGCACCUGGUACCAGCAAAACCGCGUCAGGUCUCACCUCGCCGCCAGGAAGCUCCUCGAGGUCGUCCGUGGCCGCAUCGGCCUCCUCUCCAGCCAGCGGAAGUUCUAGACCCGUGGGCGAAGGAAGUUCCACCUUGACCACCGCGUCGUCCGCGUCCUCGCCUGCAUCAUCCACCUCUAGCACCUCCAGCACCGGGAAUAACUCGUCCAACAAGUCGAACGCCACCGGCAGCAAUCCACCGCAGAUUUACCCGUGGAUGAAGAGGGUGCACAUCGGACAGAGCACGGUGAACGCGAAUGGCGAAACAAAACGACAGAGGACGUCGUAUACCAGGUACCAAACACUGGAGUUGGAAAAGGAGUUUCAUUUCAAUCGCUACCUGACGAGGCGGCGUCGCAUCGAGAUCGCCCAUGCCCUCUGUCUGACGGAACGUCAGAUAAAGAUCUGGUUCCAGAAUCGGCGGAUGAAGUGGAAAAAGGAGCACAAGAUGGCGAGCAUGAACAUUGUACCGUACCACAUGUCGCCGUACGGACACCCUUACCAGUUCGCGCCCCACCCAGGCCAGUUCGCUCACUUGGCCACAUAGGACGAGUUCUCGCCCGCCGAGCUCGGAGCACACGCUGUCCGGUUCCCCGGGAUGUACGGCGAGCAGAACUUCUAAAAGGCUUUUUCUCCGCUUUCAGCCUGGCCGCGUCACCGGCUCGUCCCGCGUGACCCGCCGCGCCGGGCUGGGACACACUUCACUUCCAGUAGGACACGUGGUGAGACCCAACGAGGUCUGACACAGGCCACCGAUGCCUAGACGGAUUGUCACUCGUCAAGCAGAAUUUCUUCUUCCCUUCUCUUCCUUUUUCUUCUUAUUCUCAGACAGGGAAAUAUGUUGUUCAGAGCUUUUUAUCGUAGGGCUUCACACAGCAAGUAUGAUGUUAGGGUUAACCCUCGCGUCAAUAACUAACUACUCAUUUUCACAUUGACGUCAUAGCACUUGUUUACGAAGGUUUUAUAUCAGAUAGAAACGACGACCCACAAGCCUGUCAGCAUCGGCCUGUGUACACAAAUAUACUCCGUCACAUAGGACUAUUCGAAGUUGAAGAGAAGCCAAAAAAUUUUCUGCAAAACACGCCGUGCGCCCGAUCAAAUGGACUGGACGCGCUCCGAGGGGCUCUCGUCGCGACUAGAUUGCAAGAGUAUUGGAUAUUUGAACGCGGACGAGAGGCUACCUCAGCGGGUGAGAUGAAACCGAAUCAGUAGUUUAAGGCGUAGAAAUUAGCGGUCUAAAUAAUUAAUUAAUUGAGCGACUAAUUAAUUAAUUAUCAUGUCUGGCUGCGCACCGUUCCGCAUCUCUGAAUUACCUUUGUCCACCUCUCCUGUACCCACUUCCUCAGCAUCUUAAUCCUGCCCACACGCCGUUUCCCUAUGUCCCGAAAACGAAAGAAAGCAGACAAGAUGCGCUGAUGUACUUACUUCUCGUUUCUUCUUCCACUUCCUCUUUCUCUUUCUCUUCUUUCGCUCGUUCGAUCUAUCUGUCCGUGCGCGUUCGCCAGGGAGAGACGGUGGAACUCGCGAGCAAUCCGCUCUCUCCCCGACGAAGCGCAGUUUCUAUGUGCACGUUAAAGUCUCUACUUCAUAGUACGUAAGGUGCCUAUUAAUACUCGAGUCUCUAUUCUCUGCCGUUUUUCGAUAGAGGCUGCUGAAUCUAUUAAACGUCCGUUCGAACGACGCUCCUUGAAAACCGAACCGACGAUACGCAUAAUACUCUUUAGCAAAUAAGGCGAAAAAAGUAGUGGCGAUGACUGUGAAUUCGAAUCGUCGCGCAAUUUUGAAGCUCGUUUGCUACUCCGUGGACGCGUUAAAUCAAAUUGGCCGGGAAAGUAUCGCUUUGUAAACUCACAUGAAUUUUACGUCGCGUUUAAUUUUAGUCAAUGUUCAUUAAUUCUAAGAUUUCCAUUUCGAUCCAAAUUGGGCUCAAACUGAAGAAUGCAUAGCUUAUUUUGCUUAUGAAACGUGAACGUUUAGCCAGGUCCCAAUCCUCCAUGGAAGAAACGCGUUUGCGACCGCGCAUGCGCCCUCUCACCUCUGCGCAUUCGCAACUGCGCAUCUUAACGCAGUACCACGCGCAACACGAGCGAAUUGAACGAUCUCUGCGCGUCGAUAUACUGUACCAACGAGAAAUAAAAGAAAAACGAGCAGUUGUUUCGAGGAGGAGGAGGAAGAGGAGGAAUAGAAGACCUCUCAGCGACCUAAUCGAACGAAACGGCAGAAUCAGCGAACGAGUUGCCGUCGAGCAGAAUAUCAUCGAACAAGAAAAAACUUUCGCUUCAAGUGCAAUAAAUGUUGCGCAUUACAAGAUACGACGAGCAGCUCAUCGAACGAUAAGGGUUUAUGAAUUGCUCGUUAAUCGGUGGAACAACAGGAGCCAACGAUCAGCGGGUAACGCAUAAAAAUCGUGUUAAUUAUGGCCAGCUCGUAAAACAAUAAUUGUUAUGUUUACAAUGGCACCGAUAACGAGCUAUGUAGUUGCUGAAAUUCCAAGCCGCGAUAACAUUCGAGUCGAAAGAUCGAACGAUGCCCAGCCGGAGGUUAUCUGGUCGCACGCCAGGGUCGUUUUCUUUGCCUGUAAUACGUUCGAUUCGAUCGCUCUUUAAUUGGACACGUUCUAUGUAUGCCGAUCUCGCUGUCCAACCAACGAAAAUCGCAAAUUAUCCGCAAUUAUCGAUAAGCAGAAUGGCCGAUUUGCCAAGCAAGAAAAUAAUAAUUCUUCAUUGAAAGAUAAGGCCACGAGCAAUGAUUGCAUCCCUUAAGAGGAGAGUUAACAGGAGAUUUCCUUGAUUAUCAGCUACUUCAUCUUCAGGUAUCUUUAAUCAUCCAAUUGUGCGUGGUGUUUGAGAUAUUUAUUGAGGGCGAGUUAUUUUUUAGUCUUAUAAAUUAAAAUUUGCAUUCAACCUUUCUGUCGAUCCGAUGGUCAUCAAGUGGUAUUCUCUUUCGAAUGUACAUACUUACCUGCUUAUAAUUAAAAGAAAAUCGACGUCGAUCGAAAGUGGAAGACUACGAUCAGAGAGAUCCGUGAGUAACAGAGUCGAAGAUCCGCCUUGAGAGGGACGAUAAGAUCGCGUGACAACAGCGGGAGGUCGCGCGUGAUAAAGAGGCCUCACACCCUCGAAAACUACCGAAACGGACAGGAGUCGUGUAACAAGGAGACGAGAGAAGACAAGAGGAUCGAACGCAAGUCAUGAUUCGUGCGAGCAAGUUAUGUGUACUCUCCUCGUGUGUUAAGGUACGAGCAUGCUACCGACGAUGACGGCGCUGAUUCGAUCACGAUCAACAUCGGCUUGGUUCCUCUUCAACGACCAUGACUUUCCUUGUAGAUCGUCAUGAUAGACCUCACGGAACCAAGGAUGAAGCAACUACGGCGCCGUCGAAUUAUCGAUUCUUUCCGUUUCGCUGGAUUCACUGCUGGUGAAUCGGUGAUUGCCAGUCGUACGACGAACUCGUUGACAAGAAAAACAUGACUGGUUCCUCGAAGAACGGACGGUCGCGCGUGGAAAGGCAUUAACAGGCAGUCGCUAAGAGGUUGGAAUGGUCCGCGUUUGGAAAAGUUCUAUAACUCGAUCGUCGGUGUCAGUUUUUCCGCGGCCGAGUCAGAAAGGGCACCG